Molecule: unclassified non-coding RNA, 216 nt
Filed under: soil metagenome
Description: partial contains 5.8S ribosomal RNA, internal transcribed spacer 2, and large subunit ribosomal RNA
Source: RNAcentral
AACCUAGCACACCUGCGGUGUGUACCUGCGGAAGGAUCAUUACAAGUGACCCCGGUUUACCACCGGGAUGUUCAUAACCCUUUGUUGUCCGACUCUGUUGCCUCCGGGGCGACCCUGCCUUCGGGCGGGGGCUCCGGGUGGACACUUCAAACUCUUGCGUAACUUUGCAGUCUGAGUAAACUUAAUUAAUAAAUUAAAACUUUCAACAAUGGAUCU